CCUACGGGUGGCAGCAGUGGGGAAUAUUGCACAAUGGAGGAAACCCUGAUGCAGCAACGCCGCGUGAAGGAAGACGGCUCUCGGAUUGUAAACUUCUGUUCUUAGUGAAGAAUAAUGACGGUAGCGAAGGAGCAAGCCACUGCCAACUGCGUGCCAGCAGCCGCGGUAAUACGUAGGUGGCAAGCGUUGUCCGGAAUGACUGGGUGUAAAGGGAGCGCAGGCGGGAAGCUAAGUCAGAUGUGAAAGCUACGGGCUUAACUUGUAGACUGCAGUUGAAACUGGUCUUCUAGAGUGAAGGAGGGGUUGACGGAAUUCCGAGUGUAGCGGUGAAAUGCGUAGAUAUUCGGAAGAACACCGGUGGCGAAGGCGGCCAACUGGGCUUUAACUGACACUGAGGCUCGAAAGUGUGGGGAGCAAACAGGAUUAGAUACCCGAGUAGUC
This 441-nucleotide ribosomal RNA is filed under the name uncultured bacterium. Its description in RNAcentral is "partial 16S ribosomal RNA". It matches the Rfam family "Bacterial small subunit ribosomal RNA", at positions 338 to 795 of the family's 1533-position model. The record is from RNAcentral.